UACGUAGGGUGCGAGCGUUAAUCGGAAUUACUGGUCGUAAAGCGUGCGUAGGCGGCUUUGCAAGACAGAUGUGAAAUCCCCGGGCUUAACCUGGGGACUGCAUUUGUGACUGCAUGGCUGGAGUGCGGCAGAGGGGGAUGGAAUUCCGCGUGUAGCAGUGAAAUGCGUAGAUAUGCGGAGGAACACCGAUGGCGAAGGCAAUCCCCUGGGCCUGCACUGACGCUCAUGCACGAAAGCGUGGGGAGCAAACAGG
Molecule: ribosomal RNA, 253 nt
Filed under: uncultured bacterium
Lineage: Bacteria
Description: partial 16S ribosomal RNA
Rfam family: Bacterial small subunit ribosomal RNA
Source: RNAcentral